Molecule: long non-coding RNA, 381 nt
Organism: Mauremys reevesii (Reeves's turtle)
Lineage: Eukaryota; Metazoa; Chordata; Testudines; Geoemydidae
Exons: 2
Source: RefSeq, a predicted model, not a curated record
AGAGAAGAACUACCCAAGACUCUAGGAGGAGGAGGAGGAGGAUGCUGACAAUUUUGACCUGUUAAGCUUGCCAAGUGGACAAAUGAAAGCAGGCCCCCCCCGAGGACUUAGUGGAGAGAAGUGACACCAGGUCUGGGCUGCGGCUGGGAGGAGGAUGACGCGGUUGCUUCACUUCAACACAACAACACGGCACGGCCGCUCGGAGCAGGCAGAUCCCCAGCGCUACUGAGGGCCGGGCCCAGGAGCGAUGCUGGCCCGGGGAGGGCACAGCACGUUCGCUGGGGUCUCCCCAUCUCUCCCCACGUACAGUGGGGGAGGGGGCUCUGAGCCCGGUACAAUUACCCCCCCGCUCCGUGCCCCCCCCUCAACAUACACCGCAGC